AAAGUCGUAACAAGGUUUCCGUAGGUGAACCUGCGGAAGGAUCAUUAACACGUAUCCAACGUUAAACCCCCCCGUGAAUAUUAAGCGUGCUCUUACAUCCUUGCACAACAGCAAUCUCUGGUAAAUCAUGUCGAACGGUUUGAUUCAGAGACCUCUGGCUUGUGCGAUGACGGCGGAAGCUAAAGGUGUAAUCGAGCGCUAGGUUCAGUGGUUUGGUCUUCCCCUCAAACCACUUCAAUGAAUGUCAGUGUCAUUGAAGUGUGAUGGGGAAGUCGCUUAACGACGCUGUAGGCUCACACGAGCCGGCGUCCAAAUCACCAGGCGCAAGCCUCCCUAAAACCACAUGUCAGCGUAGGCCCUUCUGUCGUGGUUGGGCGUAAAAACGAACAACUGUUAACAAUGGAUAUCUUGGUUCUC
Molecule: unclassified non-coding RNA, 417 nt
Filed under: Cercozoa sp.
Lineage: Eukaryota; Cercozoa
Description: partial contains small subunit ribosomal RNA, internal transcribed spacer 1, and 5.8S ribosomal RNA
Rfam family: Eukaryotic small subunit ribosomal RNA (bases 1-47)
Source: RNAcentral